This 3637-nucleotide long non-coding RNA is filed under the name Prunus dulcis (almond). RNAcentral describes it as "sRNA ncRNA". The record is from RNAcentral. Lineage: Eukaryota; Viridiplantae; Streptophyta; Magnoliopsida; Rosales; Rosaceae.
GUCGUGAUGUGCUUCUCUCAAAGAAGAAAAGCUGAAGAACGUGGAGAAAAAUUGCACGGGUUCAGAACCCACGAAGCUGACGGUUUCCACAAUUUUAGAACCCAUCACCACCAUGUUACCUAUAUUUUUCUUCGUCCACUUCAUUGGCACCUUUUCUGCUUCAGAAAUCGAAAUCGAAAUUGCGAGUAAUCACCCAAGAGCACCCGGUGUAAAGACUGGCCAGACUCGAAAAACUUCCUUUCUCAUUCCGCACCACACCUGUUAUCCUGUAACUGAAGGUAAAGCAUCCGUUUUUUUUGUCUUAAUGCAUGUAUAUUUCUAAUUUUGUUGGGUUCAAUAUAGUCUCCCCCAAUUUUUGUUGCUUUUCUUAUGAUGUGUUUUUUGUUGGUGCUGGUAUAACUAAAAAUCCUUUGUGCUCAGAUAAAGGAGGUAGGGUUCACACUCAGAAAGAGAGAAUAUUUAAAUUCGUACAGGAGGGAUAGUGUUCAAGUUAUUUAUCAGGUUAUUAUUUCAAAUCCUAUUUCUUUUUUGUCAUCACACGUGCUCUUCCAAGUUUUAGAUUGUUUGUUAGGAUUGUAUGAAUUUGGGUGUUUGAUUUUCGAAGUUUAAUUUUCUCUAUUUUGGCUAAUUUUGUCUUGGUUUCUCUCUGUCUCUUUCAUUCUUAUUUGUGAAUUUGUUAGGAUUUCUGAAUUUGGGUGUUUGAUUUUCGAAGUUUAAUAUUCUCUAUUUUGGCCAAUUUUGUCUUGGUUUCUCUCUGUCUCUUUCAUUCUUAUUUGUGAAUUUGUUAGGAUUUCUGAAUUUGGGUGUUUGAUUUUCGAAGUUUAAUCUUCUCUAUUUUGGCUAAUUUUAUCUUGGUUUCUCUCUGUCUCUUUCUUUUUUAUUUGUGAAUUAAUUUUGUUGGGUUCAAUGAUAAUCAGCUAGCUGCAUUUGACUUGGGGUAACAAAUGCAAGAGUUACAGAUGCACAAUUAUUAAUACAAAUGCAAGAGUUACAUUAUGUUCCUGAUGCACAAUUAUUAAUAUAAUAUUGCUGUUCAAGAGAAUCCAGCUUCUAAUACGUUGGCAAGCCUGUAAACAACUGGAUAAACCAACCUGUGAAUGUAGUUAUGUUUAUGAAUAGAUUCUAUAGCCAUAACACUUUGGGCAAUGUAAAAUCUUGCAACAGUUUCAGUCAAAGUCUCUUCUCUAAUAAGCAAAGUCAUCAUGUCACCACCAAGUAGAUACUCCAUGAUUAGAUACAAGUAGUCAGCAUCUUGAAAGGAAUAGUAGAGUUUCACAAUGCAGUGACUAGCAACCUCUGCAAGCAAAUCCCUUUUAGCUCUAACAUGUUCAACCUACGUUGCAGAUAGUAUUUGGCCUGCUUAAGUUCUUUAUGGUAUCUGCAUUUUGAUUCUGUUUUGUGGCGUUUUCCUUUGUUUCUAAAUUCCAGUUAAUCACUCUGAAUCUCAAUGUUGUUGUUACUGAUUAGCUGUGAUUUUCCCCAAAAAUAUGUAGCUUAAGAGUCGAUGAAGUAAUUCCAUGAAGUAAUUUCAUCAAUAUGCUUGCUCAAUGUUGUUGUUCUUUGAAUCUGUGUUUUGUUGUGAUAUUCGAAUUUCUCAUAUAUUAGACAAUGUCUUCCUCUUUUUGAUCUGUUUACUAUCACUAAUCUCUAAUUUUUUAAAAUCCUAAUGGAAUUUCUUUGAUUAUAUAUAUAUAUAUAUAUGGGUUUAAAUUAAUUGUUCCUGAUUUCAUUAAAUUUUACUGCAGUACUUGGACGAGAACAAGUCAUUGAUUCUGAAGAUCGUUGAGAGCCAGAAUACAGGGAAAUUGAGUGAAUGCGUAAAGUGAGCAUUUACUUUUUCAUUGACUGCUCUGCUUUGGACAUCUUUUAUUUUCACAGAUUGCUAUUUAUAAGCAACGUAUAUCUGUUAGGCUAUUUUUAUUUAUAUGUUAACUUGCUUUCUAAUUGAUACUGCAUGGUUGCAACUCAUGGUUUGCUUGGAAUUUGCUUGGAAUUUGCUCAAUGUUGUUGUUCUUUGAACCUGUUUUUUGUUGUGAUAUUUGAAUUUCUCAUAUAUUAGACCAUGUCUUCCUCUUUUUGAUCUGUUUACUAUCACUAAUCUCUAAUUUUUUGAUCACUAAUCUCUAAUUUUUUGAUCAUAAUGGAAUUUCUUUGAUUAUAUAUAGAUGUUGUUUCGCUAGAGCACCAAUGAAGAAAGCAUUUAGAUUUGAUGUGUUUGAUGUCAAUGGUAUGAAUCUCUCUCUCUCUCUCUCUCUCUCUCUCUCAUAUUUUGGUUUGGGAUUUUUGAAUUCUUUUUUUGUGAAUUAAUUUUGCUGGGUUUAAUGAUAUUAUCAGCUAGCUGCAUUUGACUUGGUGUAAAUCACGUACUUGGUCUGCUUAAGUUCUUUAUGGUAUCUACAAAUUAAAAAAAUUAAAAAAAAUAAAAAUUAAAAAAAAAGUUCUUUAUGGUAAUUUAUAAAGUAAGAAUUUUGAUUCUGUUUUCUGGCGUUUUCCUUUGUUUCUCCAGCUAAUAGAUGUAGGGGUUUCCACACUGGCCAUUGAUUUGUGUUGGCUUUUUAGUGGGUAGUUGCCAAAACCUUGGAUUUGGAACUCAGUGGUAUUUGUUUCAACAAUUGAACAUAUUUUUCAUCUCUUGGUAGCAUUUGUUUUUCUACUUUGUUGGUUAAGCCAACCCCAUUGUAGUGCGUAGAAGGAGAUUUACAGUUUCAUAUUGUGUCUUCUGGAUAUUGUUAUCAAAUUAACAAAUUUCCUGAUCUCUCGAUCUCUGCUUUUGCUUACCUAAAUUGCAUUUGCUUCAAGUUGGAAUGAAUGAGGUAUUUUGAGGCUAUAUAAUUAUGUGAUUGUUGUGCUUCAUUCUAAUUACUGUUUAUUUUAUUUUUUUAGUAUGAAUCAUAGUUAAGCAGUCGUCCAAUUGCUAGGUCCAAAAAAGAAAAUUAAUAAGUUUUUCAUAUCUACAUGUCUUAUUGAAACUUUGGAAUUUUAUCUCAACAGAUUCAAUUGUCUGUCACAUCUCUGACUUAUUCACUGAAGCAAAGAAGCAAAGAUAAUUUUCAGGUUAAUGUUUCUUCAUUUUGUUUUAUUGACACAAUUUUUUCUUUUGGGUUCCCUCAAAAUUCCUUCACAAAAUUUGACUUGGCUCUACUAUUACGUGUUUUCUGCUCUCUCUUUCUGUUUUUUUCCCCCGAUUUAAUUAACAAAUUUUAGCAUAAUUUCUCAACUUUAACCAGUUGUCUUCACCACCCAAACCAAAAUGUCCAAUUUGAAGCAAAUGUUUUUAAUUUUGGGUUUUGUUUUCUUUUGUUUUUGCUGAAUUGAAAUUAACCCCAUUUUAAUGCUGCUCCUAAUCUCAUGUUGCAGGAUUCUCUUCCAACGAUCUAUCCAUUGCUAGGUAUGGGUAUACGCCCGCAUUCACCUACCUCUACAUUACUUUCUUUGUUUGCUAAUCAUACUUUUUUACCUAAUAAAGCAACAAGCAGCUCAAAAAAGAACAAUGAAAACAUUGAACAGAGAAAAUCAUUUUGCUUGCUCCUUUGUAUUUGAUUAUUAUUAUACCAACCAAAACAAUGAAGACUACAACCUGGACAUGCUCAAGAUUGAACUUUGCAAUAUAUGUAUUAUAUUUUUUAAUUAAUUAAUC